RNAcentral lists this transfer RNA (85 nucleotides) under Ganoderma leucocontextum. RNAcentral's name for it is "tRNA-Pro". It matches the Rfam family "tRNA". From Rfam's summary of the family: Transfer RNA (tRNA) molecules are approximately 80 nucleotides in length. Their secondary structure includes four short double-helical elements and three loops (D, anti-codon, and T loops). Further hydrogen bonds mediate the characteristic L-shaped molecular structure. tRNAs have two regions of fundamental functional importance: the anti-codon, which is responsible for specific mRNA codon recognition, and the 3' end, to which the tRNAs corresponding amino acid is attached (by aminoacyl-tRNA synthetases). tRNAs cope with the degeneracy of the genetic code in two manners: having more than one tRNA (with a specific anti-codon) for a particular amino acid; and 'wobble' base-pairing, i.e. permitting non-standard base-pairing at the 3rd anti-codon position. The record is from RNAcentral. Lineage: Eukaryota; Fungi; Basidiomycota; Agaricomycetes; Polyporales; Polyporaceae.
GGCCUGGUGGUCUAGUAGUAUGAUUCCUUCUUAGGGCGAGUGUCGUAUUUGGAGGAGGUCCCGGGUUCAAUUCCCGGCCAGGCCC